UCAUUAGAUACCCAGGUAGUCCACGCCGUAAACGAUGAUUACUAGGUGUCGGUGGGUAUGGACCCAUCGGUGCCGCAGCCAACGCAGUAAGUAAUCCACCUGGGGAGUACGUUCGCAAGAAUGAAACUCAAAGGAAUUGACGGGGACCCGCACAAGCGGUGGAGCAUGUGGUUUAAUGUGAAGUCGUAACAAGGUAUC
RNAcentral lists this ribosomal RNA (198 nucleotides) under uncultured bacterium. RNAcentral's name for it is "partial 16S ribosomal RNA". It matches the Rfam family "Bacterial small subunit ribosomal RNA", at positions 775 to 975 of the family's 1533-position model. The record is from RNAcentral.